RNAcentral lists this long non-coding RNA (4460 nucleotides) under Bemisia tabaci. RNAcentral's name for it is "lncRNA ENSSWEETPG006537". Lineage: Eukaryota; Metazoa; Arthropoda; Insecta; Hemiptera; Aleyrodidae. The record is from RNAcentral.
GUAUUAGCUGCUAUUCAAGAUGCCUUGAUUAUAAGAGAUUCAGAGAGAUCUGCAAUGAAAACGGAGCAUAUCUAUUUGCUGAUAUGGCUCAUGUUAGUGGUCUUGUCGCUGCUGGCGUUAUUCCGUCUCCAUUUGAGUUCAGUGAUGUUUGUGGCCACAACGACUCACAAAACUUUACGAGGACCAAGAGCGGGGAUUAUUUUCUACAGGAAAACUCCUCACCCAUCGACCAAGCAUGAAGGCAAGUUUGAUCUUGAAACUAAAAUUAAUGAGGCAGUAUUCCCGGACUUCAAGGUGGACCACAUAACAAUGCAAUUGCUGGGAUUGCCACUGCUAUGCAUCAAGCAAGCACUCCGGAAUUUAAGUACUAUCAAACUCAGGUCAUAGAAAAUGCCAGACAUCUUGGAGUAUGUUUGACUAAUCUAAACUACAAGAUUGUCACGGGUGGUACAGACGUUCAUUUAAUUCUCGUUGAUCUCAGCCCUAAAAAAGUGUCUGGUUCCAAAGCUGAGCUGAUUCUCGAAGAAAUUGGAAUUGCUUGCAAAAAAACACAGGUAUUAUAAAAUUGUUAAAUCUCUUUGUCCUAGGUUUUUAUCCUGUUUUGAUACUGUCACCUUCAAUGAGAGCUAUAAGAAAAAAAAAUGAAUAAGGGAGAAGUUAUUGAAAGUUCUAGAUAAGAUAGAGGAGCUUUCCUUCUUUAUUGAUCAUUAUUGAAAGUAGCUGAUCAGUCUGACUCUACACCUGCUUUGUCAAGGGAAUCUUUGUGAAUACUUUGGUCCGGUUGUUAAGACCAGUCUUCAAUCUCUGGCCCUAAAAUUUGCCCGUCAUAGCUGUGGUGUCAUCGUGUUACUCACUGUCACUAGUGUGUCAUUUAUUAACUUGUCCUCCAGUCCCACUUUAGAACAAUUUUUUUUCAAGGUUCUAUAUGUGUAUGUUUUUGAUUCAAUCUUUAUUUGACACCAAGUGUGAAGGCACCAAACCAAAGUUGUAUUUUGUUUGGCAUAACAGUUGUAACUGUAACACAUCAGUCCGUAACAUUCCUAUUUUGUUUGAAUUUUACCAAUUAAUAGUGGUUAGGGCUUACCUAAUUGGAAUUUUUUUUUGUAGAGCCAGGAUUUUUGGUAGUUUUACCAUUGAAAUCUGAUACUUCACAAAAGUGAUAGGCGACAAAAAUUUUAAGUUGACCAAUUUUUCACAAUUAAAUUGAAACAAAGUUGAUCGAGAAUCUGAAUCUGACCAAAGACAUCGCAUUAUCUUCAAGCUGUGAGCGAUUUAUUUAAAUUUGUGCCUCUAGGUGUAUCAAGCUCUAUUAGAAUUUUGAAUAUCAAAAAUGAGAGAUUAAAACCAGAAAUAGCUUCAUUCAAACCUGUGUUUUACUGAACGGGUAUUGGAAACUGUCAAGCUCCAGUUUGGUUUGACUUUUUUAGACGUUUUUGUAAAAUUAUACUAAAUUAUUCUGGAAACAUUCCUUCAUUGUAGUGGUACCAAUUUUGCGAUUUAAGUUUUUUUAACUGAGAUCCUUUUUCCUGUAGAUGGCCAAGGCCUUAACCCUCUAUGGCAUGAAUUAAUUUUGGAUCUCAGAUUCUAGGAGACACCGAUCUAUUUUGGAGCUUGCAUUAAAAAAUAAGAGUAUCAAAUUUGUUUUCAAAAUUUUGAAGUUAAGGGAAUCUAUUUUCGAAAAAAGGAAAAAAACUAAUGAAAUUUUGCAAAAUCAUGGUACAGGGGCAAUAUUCAGUUUUUAAAAAUACGGUGUUACAAUUCUUAACGCUAUGCCGUUAGAGGUUAAAUACAAACUUUUAAUUUUUUAUUGAUUAAUUUACUCCAAAAAAACUCCAACUUACAGAUUAAUUGACUUUCCUUGUUAAAAUUCAACUCUGUAGUACCGUCUCUAACAUUUUUCUUCUUCAUUUUACUCAAAUUUCAGUUCCCGGUGACAAGAGUGCCAUGAAUCCAAGUGGAAUCCGACUUGGAACACCAGCCCUCACAACUCGCGGAAUGCAAAAGGAGGAUAUGGAGAAAGUUGCUAAUUUUAUACAUGAAGGUUUGUGAAAAUAAAUCACCUCCUUUUUUUUCAAGAAUAUUGAAGAGCAAUUGCAGUCGAAAACACGAAGCCCCAUUUUCAACCCAUUCGUACAAUGUUUGAACACUACCUUGAGAAAGAAAGUCACAUUCGAAUAGACCAAACAGCCUUCUCUGAGGUCUCUCAGCUUAUUUUGCUUGUUUGCUCCUUUAUCAGCUGUUUAAAUGUAACACAAAAAUCAUAUAUUUUUCUAAUACACUGCAGAUUUUACUAAAAAAAAAAUCAGUUUAAUUUCAAACUCCGCCAAUGCACUUAUGAUUUUCAAGCGAUUGUGUUGUUAAAAGCAAAUCCUCCCUGUUUGCUCGAAAAGAAGUUUACAGCAGCCUUGUUGGAAUCACCGUCCUGUAAUUUAUUUUUUUUCACAUGUUUCAUAGGAGUUCAAUUGGCUCUUGAAAUUCAGAAAGUAUCUGGACCCAAAAUUGUUGAUUUCAAGAAGUUGGUGAAGAAGAUGCCGACACCCGUAAAAAGAUAUCCGAGCUCCGUUCACGAGUAGAAGACUUUGCUGUGAAAUUUCCUCUUCCGGGAACCUGAUUACUGAUUUAGGGUCAGUGUUAUUUCAUGGACAAAAAAAUCAAGUUCUCAUCACUAAAAUCAUGCUAUAUUCAAGCGCUUGCUUAGGUCUUUCUAUACGCCUCCUUUUCUCCUCCCCCUUGCUGAAAACUGCCUUAUCAUCGAAAAAUGAAGUAUUAUUUUAAAAUAAGUAUGGUCGUUUUUGUAUAUUUUUAGUUUUACAUUGUGCCUUUGAAUCUCAGUGCAUUGAUACUCUUUCUUUUACAAAAGAUUUUAAUAUUUACACAUCAAUUUUAGAUAAAUUUUUAAUGCUCCGUAUUUUUUUAGUGUCUGAAAAUCAUAUUGUAUACUUUUUGUAUUUUUCUCACUUUAUUGUAAGAAAAUUACCCUAAUACAUAAUUAAUUUAAUAUUAUUUUAGGAUGAUUACCAUUCCAUGUUCCUGUAUGGCUUUCAUUACCAAUGAAUUGUGAUAGUUUAUAAACGUACAUUUCUGUGAAUUGUCAUAAAAAUAAGGAACCAUGAUUUAUAUUGUGCCAUACUUUAAUGCAUUGACUUGCUCUCUAAAAUGUAAAACUUGUAAGAUCACUUUUAUUCUAUAAAGAAAAUCAAAUAUUUUUUUGUGUACCUACUUUCUUUAAAUACUUGGUCAAUAGUAUUUGGACGGUCUAAAAUCUUUCCAUUCCAUACCUAUUAUUUUCCGGAAAACUAUGAGGGUUAUUCAGAAAGUAAGAAAUCCUCUACAUUUUCUUGAAAAUUUGUGAUUCUUGUAACCCAAAACCAAAAAAAAUUACCAGAAAAACUUUGCAGAAAGCAAAAGUUCAAAAAUGAAAUCGCAAUGAAGGCAUCAUUACUUUCAAUUAAUAUUGAUGAAAAGAACAAAAAUAAAUGACAUCCUGUGUUUUGUGAUGUUUUAAAUUUGAUCAAGCUUAAAUCAAAUGCCAAUUUUGAUUUAGCUUUUGAACAUGCUUUUACUGCAUAAUCUUUUUACAUGAAAGAAAUAACAUGUAACAUUGCAGUGAUACUUUUAACGACUUGUCUCUUAUGUGGCUCAUUUCAGCAUUUUCAGCCUUAUCUUUUUGAAAUGGGAAUGGGAGUAAGCUUAAUUGAACUCCACUUUUCUGUAAAUAAUUUUACAGACUUAAUAACAAUUAUUAAUAAGUUUUUGAAGCAGACCUGUCCCUACUAGAAAUCAGAAAAAAGCAAACUUCUGAUUGUUUCCAUCCGAGCAACAUGAUGAACGAAAUACUUAAUUAAAAUUGCAAUUUCAUAUCGAAAAGCUUUCUCCAAUUUCAUUUUCAGCUCCAAAUUUUCAUUCUUGGCUUAGUUUGUUCUAGAAAUCUACUGCCCUGAUUUUCAUGAUUUUUUGCUACCAACUCUAAUUACAACCCCUGGCCAGCCUGUUUUCUUUAAUGCUAGAAGCAGCAUUUUAGGUGUAUCCGAUACAAAAAAAAUUUUAAGAAAUACUCAUAUGAAAUAUAAAUUUACGUAAGUUUGACCAAAAUUUAGAACAAACUGCGUCAUUAUAUUCUUGUGUUUACCCACUGUAUUUUUUAGAAUUUAUAUGAACUUUAUAUUAGAUAUUAAUGUAACGUAAUAUUCAUGAAAAAUCUCGUAAAAAUUAUAGGAUUACUAAUGUUCAUAAAUGCUUCAGCUUUAAAAUCAGUAUGCGAUAAUCAAGUACUUAAAAAAUGUUUGAUUAUUAGGGCUGUGCGAAUAUUCGCAAUUCCGAAUAUUCGUGCCGCGAAUAUUCGGCGAAUAUUCGCUUCGUCUGCCUCGCGCACUAUUCGCAAAUUACGAAUAAUCGCGCCGUCGCGAAUAGUGAAUUUUUGAACCGACAUUUUCAAAUAUUCGCGGCAUCAAAACUGAUGA